UUCUAUUUUUGGGAUGGCACUUUCUGCCCUAACAUCUUUUGCAAAAACUAAGGCUGCUUCUAAGUCGUUCCAUAAUUUAAUAUGUUGUUGUGAAGUCUAUCAAAUCUGACCAGUCAAAUUUUUAAGUUGAAAAGAUCUUCAUUAUCUUUGUUGUCAUUGGAAUUUCAUUUAGCAAAUUGGUUGUCUAUAGGUGCUUCUCAACAGUUUCCAGCAUAUAUAAGAGCCCAAUAGAUUUUCAAUGGAUAGCAUGCUAUUUAGCAAAGAAAUCCUCUAAGCUGAGACUUGUAACUCUCCCUUUGUUCUGACUGAAAGUUCAAUGUGUUUAUCUUGUGUUUAUCUUUCCUCCAAUAUGGGGAAGAAAAGAUGUCUUAUAAGAGUUAUCAUCCACUACAUUCUAUGCCUCUCAAUUUGCAGUUGGAAAAUAAUACUUAUCUUGCUUUCUGAGAUGAGUUAUUUUUCUGGUGAGACAUCUUAUUAGCAGUCUGUUUGACCAAACCACCUUCCUGAGUUGAACAGGUUGGUUAUUUGGAUGAGGGCCAUUUCUGAACAUAACCUGUGCUUGUUAGACCUAUUUAUCCUUUUUGACCAGUUGACUUGUACAAUUUAGGAUCUUCUAUUAUUUCGUGAAUGAAUUGGCAUUAUUUAAGCUUUUACUUGUUUAUGAGCAAUUUUUUCAAGGGGACUUGAUUUGGUUCAUUGCCAGAGCUAAUUCUUGUAACUGUCUUGACAAACUUGUUUGCAUAUGAAUCUUUUAGCGAACUAAUCUUGGUAAAUUCAAAGCACCUCAAAACCUUUUCUAGCUAAUACAUGUAUAAUUCUCCUCCUUUCUUGAUGCUUAUCUCAGGUAAUAAUUAGUUCGUAGGGCAGAAAUGCGACGCUUAUACAUGGAAUUAUCUGACAGUCACUUUGGAUGUAUGCCAGUAUCUGUGUGAGUGUUUUUCUAUUGAUGUGUAAGCACACAAUGUUAAAGGCUGAUGGAUGUUCUAAGACGACUAGUUAUGGAGAACUUAUUUUUAUCCCAUGCAAAAGUUACACAAGGGCAUGAUGCCGAAACAGAGAUAUAUAUCACAUGAUAUGCUCUUUAAUUUGAGCAUGUAUAGCUACCUGAAAGUAAUUAAGUUAGGGGAUUGUAUUAGGGCAAUCGCAAAAUAUCCCCUGACAAAGGGAUAAUUAUUCCCUUAUCAGACAAUUUACUCGUGUUUUUUUACAGCUGAUACAAUAAAUCUUGGCUUCGUUCAAUGUAUUUUUCAUGCCUCAGUAUGAUCAUAAUGCUUGAAUUAGUAGCCUUAUGUGUAUGAUACGUUUGCACUGCUUAUUUUGGUUAGGG
Molecule: unclassified non-coding RNA, 1327 nt
Filed under: Hevea brasiliensis (rubber tree)
Lineage: Eukaryota; Viridiplantae; Streptophyta; Magnoliopsida; Malpighiales; Euphorbiaceae
Source: RNAcentral